Molecule: long non-coding RNA, 1895 nt
Organism: Zeugodacus cucurbitae (melon fly)
Lineage: Eukaryota; Metazoa; Arthropoda; Insecta; Diptera; Tephritidae
Exons: 3
Source: RefSeq, a predicted model, not a curated record
AUGUACAUAUGUAUGUAGUUGGUGAAUUUUGUUUUGCUCUGGGAUAACUGUAUUCUACUACAUACAGCAAACAUACCUACAUACGUCCAAGCUUAUGAAAAAGUUGUCAGUUGUGUGAUUUAUUUCAACUGUGAAGACGCUCGGGUAGAAAAUUGAUAUGCGAAAAUUGAUAUGCGAAUGUAAAAAUCUGCGCAAUUAAAAUGCAACGAAGAAACCAGAUUCUAUCUCGUCAAAGAAUUGAAGAAAUUGUCAAUGAUGAUGACGAGUCACUUGAUGAAGCGUCUGAUGAAGAUCAAGAUUUUCAAUGUGAUGAAUCCGAAAUAAAGGAGUCUGAUAUAUCUACAGAUUCUUUUGAUAGCAUUGAAAGUCUUAGCAGAGAAGCACAAGGAAAUAAUGAAUGUUUUCCUGCAAAAGAUGGUACGAUUGUUUGGUAUAAAGAUCCGCAACAAAUGCAAUGCAGCAGAAUGUGACAAGAAUGCAUUCUUUCAAAUAAACCAGGCCCUUCACAACACGCACGUUCCUUGGUUGCUAGCAUAAAAUGUGCUUUCGAUUUAUUCAUGUCACUAGAACUGAAACAAAUUAUUGUUGAAAUGAAGUCUAACGGGGAAAGCUUGAGAUGUUUAUGGGAUGAAACAAAUGGAAGACCCAUAUUCGGCGCUGUUAUGCAUAUUAAACGAUUUAUGCAAAUUUCACGAUGCCUCCGUUUUGAUAGCCAUGAAGAUAUGGAAACCAGACGGUUACGUGAUAAGCUAGCUCCAAUAAGAAAUAUUUGGGACAAAUGGAGCAAAAAUCUUAAACUGAUGUAUAAUCCAAAUGAAAAUGUUACCGCCGAUGAGCAGCUGGUACCUUUUCGUGGAAGAUGCUGUUUUAGACUUCCAAACUUGCCAAAUAUGGCAUAAAAAUAUGGGCUCUUUGCGAUUCCAAGUCCAACUACGCGUGGAAUAUGGAUGUCUAUCUAGGAAGGGCCAGAAAAGAACCAAGGUGAAAAUGUAGUUAUAAAUAUCACGCAAUUUGGAAAGAGGUUAUACCGUCACGUGUGACAACUUUUUUACAACCUACAAUUUGGCUGUCGAAUUGCUACGACGUAAAAUAACGGUAGUAGGAACAGUUAGAAAGAACAAGAAGUUUCUUCCCCUCCAAGCUAUUGUCGUCAGGAAAAAACCAGAGUAUUAUUCGGAAUUCUUUUUCACACAAAAUGUGACUGUUGUGACCUACAUGCCAAAUAAAUACAAAUUCGUUGUUGUAAUGAGUACUCUUCAUCAUUCGGCAGAGACCAGGGAUGAUCAGAAAAAGAAACCAGAAAUAAUACAUCACUAUAAUGCGACUAAAGCAGGUGUUGAUGCGCUGGACCAAUUAGUAGCAAUGUACACAUGUAAACGCCAAACGAAAUGAUCGCCAGUUGCACUCUUUUCAAUAUGGUCGAUGUUUCGGGAUAUAACGCAUAUGUUAUAUGGACCGAACUUAAUCCCGAAUGGAACAGAACUAAAAACUUUAAGCGGCGAUUAUUUUUAGUAGACUUGGCCACAUCUUUGGUAACCCUAUGGUCCUUCUGCAAAAAGAGUUGUGGAAAACAUCCAGGAAGCAGUUGCAGCAGACACUCCCAGUUUAUCCACGGUCGUGCAGCCUCAAAAUUCUCCUUUAUGCUUCUUGGGUAAGAGACAAAGGUGUUUUUAUUGUCCACAUACUAAAAACUCCAACAAGCAUUCAGUUCGUUGCGAUAAAUGCUUGAAAUUUAUAUGCAAACAACAUAGUGUAAAGGCAGUGUAUAAAUUGUCAGGAUUGAUCUAUUUUUUACUGACUCCUAUUGAAAACAAUUUUGAAUUUGUUAAUUUUUUGUUUGAAUAAUAAAACAAGUAAGGAAGGGCUAAGUUCGGGUGUAACCGAAUAUUUUAUUC